CACGGAGUUAGCCGAUGCUUAUUCAUACAGUACAUGCAAUAAGUUACACGUAACUCUUUUUAUUCCUGUAUAAAAGAAGUUUACAACCCAUAAGGCAGUCUUCCUUCACGCGAUUUGGCUGGUUCAGGCUCUCGCCCAUUGACCAAUAUUCCUCACUGCUGCCUCCCGUAGGAGUCUGGUCCGUGUCUCAGUUCCAGUGUGGGGGACAAACCUCUCAGUUCCCCUAUCCAUCGUUGCUUUGGUGAGCCGUUACCUCACCAACUGGCUAAUGGAACGCAUGCCCAUCUAUAACCGAUAAAUCUUUAACAAAUAUCUCCAUGCGGAGCCCCUGUUUUAUGCGGUAUUAGUCCGAAUUUCUCCGGGUUAUUCCCCUGUUAUAGGUAGGUUGCAUACGCGUUACUCACCCGUGCGCCGGUCGCCAUCAAAGUAUUGCUACCCUAUGCUGCCCCUGACUUGCAUGUGUUAGGCCUAUCGCUAGCGUUCAUCCUGAGCCAGGA
RNAcentral lists this ribosomal RNA (497 nucleotides) under uncultured Dysgonomonas sp. RNAcentral's name for it is "partial 16S ribosomal RNA". The record is from RNAcentral. Lineage: Bacteria; Pseudomonadati; Bacteroidota; Bacteroidia; Bacteroidales; Dysgonomonadaceae.